CAGUCGCCGCGGUAAUACGAAGGGUGCAAGCGUUAAUCGGAAUUACUGGGCGUAAAGCGUGCGUAGGCGGUGAGUUAAGUCUGCUGUGAAAUCCCCGGGCUCAACCUGGGAAUGGCAGUGGAUACUGGCUCGCUAGAGUGUGUCAGAGGAUGGUGGAAUUCCCGGUGUAGCGGUGAAAUGCGUAGAGAUCGGGAGGAACAUCAGUGGCGAAGGCGGCCAUCUGGGACAACACUGACGCUGAGGCACGAAAGCGUGGGGAGCAAACAGGAUUAGAUACCCUGGUAGUCCCUGUCUUUUAUAC
Molecule: ribosomal RNA, 301 nt
Filed under: uncultured bacterium
Lineage: Bacteria
Description: partial 16S ribosomal RNA
Rfam family: Bacterial small subunit ribosomal RNA
Source: RNAcentral